CAUCGGACGCCUCAAACUUGGA
This 22-nucleotide non-coding RNA is filed under the name Arabidopsis thaliana (thale cress). Lineage: Eukaryota; Viridiplantae; Streptophyta; Magnoliopsida; Brassicales; Brassicaceae. The record is from RNAcentral.